GAGGGGGCCAAGCAGACUGCAACUGUACCUUACAGCUCUUCCCUCUCUCUAACUCCCAUGAGACGUGUGGCCGUCAGAGCCUUGCCACGGCUUACCGUGGCAAAGCUCCGUGCGGCACACACGUCACGCUCGUGGGAGUUAGAGAGACGGAAGAGGUGUAAGGUACAGCUGCAGUCUGCUGCCCCCCC
Molecule: non-coding RNA, 188 nt
Organism: Pelobates cultripes (western spadefoot toad)
Lineage: Eukaryota; Metazoa; Chordata; Amphibia; Anura; Pelobatidae
Source: the annotation of a GenBank genome assembly